Long non-coding RNA from Mytilus trossulus (common blue mussel), 307 nucleotides. RefSeq lists it as uncharacterized. The transcript has 3 exons. The record is from RefSeq and is a predicted model, not a curated record. NCBI's taxonomy places the organism in Eukaryota, Metazoa, Mollusca, Bivalvia, Mytilida, Mytilidae.
CAGAAUUUACUACUUAUUUCAUACUUGUUAUAUAACUUCAUACAACAUGGUCAGUGUGGAACAAUGGUUUUCUUUAGAAACAACACAAAAAACUGGCCAGACGCACGGUUAUUUUGUAAAAGCAUUGCGAUGGACUUAGCGAUAAUUGAAUCUGCCACAGAAUUGACCAGAGUACAAAAAUGUGUUGCUGAUAAUGGAGGUUUUAUUGGAGAUGCGUGGAUUGGAGGAUAUUAUAAUGAAACCAAGCAUGUAUUUCACUGGGUUGAUUCUACUUUAUUUAGUUGGACUAAUUGGGAAUCCUCUGAGC